CAGUCGCCACGGGAAUACGUAGGUGGCAAGCGUUGUCCGGAAUUAUUGGGCGUAAAGGGCUCGCGGGCGGUUUCUUAAGUCUGAUGUGAAAGCCCCCGGCUCAACCGGGGAGGGUCAUUGGAAACUGGGAAACUUGAGUGCAGAAGAGGAGAGUGGAAUUCCACGUGUAGCGGUGAAAUGCGUAGAGAUGUGGAGGAACACCAGUGGCGAAGGCGACUCUCUGGUCUGUAACUGACGCUGAGGAGCGAAAGCGUGGGGAGCGAACAGGAUUAGAUACCCCUGUAGUCCCUGUCUCUUAUAC
This 301-nucleotide ribosomal RNA is filed under the name uncultured bacterium. RNAcentral's name for it is "partial 16S ribosomal RNA". It matches the Rfam family "Bacterial small subunit ribosomal RNA", at positions 509 to 807 of the family's 1533-position model. The record is from RNAcentral.